This 253-nucleotide long non-coding RNA is filed under the name Crocodylus porosus (Australian saltwater crocodile). RNAcentral describes it as "lncRNA (ENSCPRG00005010025.1)". The record is from RNAcentral. Lineage: Eukaryota; Metazoa; Chordata; Crocodylia; Crocodylidae.
CUUUGCAAUGUUAGUCUGUAGACCUCAUUUCCAUGUUGUUCUCUAUUGCACUGACAGGUGUUACCGCUACAUUUCCACCAUGGAUGAAUACAACAGGCAGACGUACAACAGGCACUUCUGACCCAUGGCUAACUACCGCAGGAAUAAGCAUCCGACUGGUGAAUGGAAGGAACAGAUGCGAGGGCCGUGUUGAAAUCAGUUACAACGGAGCCUGGGGGACGGUUUGUGAUGAUUCCUGGGAUGUCAGCGAUGC